This 217-nucleotide ribosomal RNA is filed under the name uncultured fungus. Its description in RNAcentral is "partial small subunit ribosomal RNA". The stretch from base 49 to 217 matches the Rfam family "Eukaryotic small subunit ribosomal RNA", at positions 694 to 864 of the family's 1831-position model. Lineage: Eukaryota; Fungi. The record is from RNAcentral.
GGUCUGGCCAGGUGGUUUAGCCGCAAGGUUAACACUACACUGGCUGGAUCUUUCCUUCUAGGGAACCAAUGUGCUCUUUAUUGAGUGCGCUGGGGAUCUAGGACUGUUACUUUGAAAAAAUUAGAGUGUUCAAAACAGGCAUUUUGCUUGAAUACAUUAGCAUGGAAUAACGGAAUAGGACUUUGUUUCUAUUUUGUUGGUUUUUAGGAACGAAGUA